RNAcentral lists this ribosomal RNA (253 nucleotides) under uncultured bacterium. Its description in RNAcentral is "partial 16S ribosomal RNA". It matches the Rfam family "Bacterial small subunit ribosomal RNA", at positions 524 to 776 of the family's 1533-position model. The record is from RNAcentral.
UACGGGGGGGGCAAGCGUUGUUCGGAAUUACUGGGCGUAAAGGGCGCGUAGGUGGUUCUGUAUGUCUACCGUGAAAGCAUACAGCUCAACUGUAUUUUGUCGGUAGAAACUGCAGGACUUGAGGCUGGGAGGGGCUGGUGGAAUUCCCUGUGUAGCGGUGAAAUGCGUAGAGAUGGGGGAGAACACUCGUGGCGAAGGCGGCCAGCUAGACCAGUUCUGACACUGAGGCGCGACAGCGUGGGGAGCAAACAGG